RNAcentral lists this ribosomal RNA (464 nucleotides) under uncultured bacterium. RNAcentral's name for it is "bacterial SSU rRNA". It matches the Rfam family "Bacterial small subunit ribosomal RNA", at positions 28 to 507 of the family's 1533-position model. The record is from RNAcentral.
GACGAACGCUUGCGGCGUGCCUAAGAAAUGCAAGUCGAGCGAGGUUUAGGCUUCGGCCGACGACCUAGCGGCGAACGGUCGCGUAACACGUAAGCAACCUGCCCUAAAGUUGGGGAUAGCCCGCCGAAAGGCGGAUUAAUACCGAAUGUGGAUAUGUAUUCGCAUGUAUAUAUAUCUGAAGCAGCGAUGCGCUUUAGGAUGGGCUUGCGGCCUAUCAGUUAGUUGGUGUGGGUAACGGCCUACCAAGACGACGACGGGUAGCUGGUCUGAGAGGAUGGUCAGCCGGAUUGGGACUGAGACACGGCCCAGACUCCUACGGGGGCAGCAAUUAGGAAUCUUGCGCAAUGGGCGAAAGCCUGACGCAGCGACGCCGCGUGACUGAUGAAGUCUUUCGAGAUGUAAAGGUCUUUUGUUGGGGACGAAGGAAGUGACGGUACCCGAGAAUAAGCCCCGGUAACUACGUG